CCUAACUCUUAGAGAUGCUGGGAUCAAAGGUCAAUGGUUUUCUUUCCAUGUGCUUGACCGAGCAUGGGCUUCCCUAAGACAAUCCUUAUGGAUAAUUUCCCUUGUGUAUACACAGGAAGAAAAGGAGCAUCUUGAGAGACCUGGAUACCUAGAAAGAGUCCCUAAAAUGGAAGAUAUAGUUAUGUAAAGAAGAGAGAGGGUAGAAAAAAAAAUCCUACUUCUGCCAGUACAGCUAUCCACUGUACUGCUUCCUGUCUUGUGAGUCCAGGGCCCAAGAGGCCAGAUGGCAAAUUGCUUUGAUAACUUCAGCAUGCUUCCAAUUACAUCAUGCUGAUCAUUUGCAUUGGGUUUUAAAAUCUGGAAUGAAGCUCAAUAUCUCAGAGGAAGUUGAAUGGCCUUUCCCUCACAGUUUAGAGGGCUGCAAGGGCAGGGAUCCAAGGUGAGCAUUACAAAGAUCUAUGCUUUCACAGCCUUGAUUGCA
Molecule: long non-coding RNA, 481 nt
Filed under: Monodelphis domestica (gray short-tailed opossum)
Lineage: Eukaryota; Metazoa; Chordata; Mammalia; Didelphimorphia; Didelphidae
Description: lncRNA (ENSMODG00000032947.2)
Source: RNAcentral